This is a long non-coding RNA of Rhincodon typus (whale shark), 1167 nucleotides long. RefSeq lists it as uncharacterized. NCBI's taxonomy places the organism in Eukaryota, Metazoa, Chordata, Chondrichthyes, Orectolobiformes, Rhincodontidae. The transcript has 3 exons. The record is from RefSeq and is a predicted model, not a curated record.
UCCUACCGUCAAGCAAAUUUGUAUCCAGUUGGCUCGCUCUUCCUGGAUCCCAUGUGAUCUAACCUUACUAAUCAGUCUACCAAGUGGAACCUUGUCAAACUUCUGUAUUCAAGUGCAUUUAAGAUUAUUUUUCUCCAACCUUUUCUCCUCUUACCAAGUACAGAUUUCAGCCAGGGUACAGUUUCAAAGCACUGGCUUUUCUCUUCAUCCAAGUGUCAUUUUCAUCUAAACUGUAAUUUUGGCAACUUGUUCCACAGUGAAAUAGAGUUGCAUUUAACUUGUCUUUAUCUACUAUUCAUGUAUGUAUGUAACAGCCACUGUUUACAAUCCCCUUAUCAGCAAUCUCUCCCUCUAAAAUGUCAACUUCCAACACAGAUCAAGAUUUGCAUAUGGUUUUCUCUUCAGUGACUUAAGUGCAAAAUCAGAUGGUGCAAUUUAUCCACUGUUGCUUUGAGGAAACUUAUUUUUCCUCUUUGUUUGGAUGUCGUGGAGCAACACACCAUCCUAAGAGAUUCUGAGACUAAACACUAAGGGGAGGAAGCAGUGUAAGCUAUUAUGAACAGGCUUUAUGAUAAAAUAAUGAUAAUCAGAGAGCAAAGACAGUUACUUAUGUUUUGUUGUGGCUAUUUCUCCUCCUCCUCCCCUGAAGCUAUCAUUAUUUGCUAAGAAUUGGACAGUCGCUGGACCUACUGAUAGGUCAGCAGUGAAAUCAUUGUUCAUUUGAGAGUCUCCACAGAGUGUGGGCAACACAACAGCAGUUAAUUGAAGAUAACAAGGUGUAGAGCUGGAUGAACACAGCAGGCCGAGCAGGAAAGCUGACGUUUCGGGUCGAGACCCUUCUCCAGCAUCGGCAGUUCCUACUAUCUUUGUAGCAGUUAAUUGAAGGUGUAAUCAAAAUUAGUCCUGUUCCGUUCCUCUCCUGUUGUACCUGUGUACAUUUUUUAAAGGGUGCAUCUACUUACCUUUUCCGGUAGUGUGCCUCAUACAGCCAUUGGCAAACAAAAUUAGCUAAACUAGUCCAGAUCAGGAUUCUUCAGGUCCAUGUGACUCAACUAUUUGCUGCAGGGGCAAGGCAAUAAUUCACUGGAGGGGUUCCAAUGUAAUCAAGCCCUAAGAACAAAUUAUAUCUGAGGAACUACUGUCCUAGAUCACUGUGCAACACUUCCC